GAGCAGUUGUGGACCUCUUUGCUCAGGGGGAGCAGCACUCAUUUGUGAACUUGUUGAAGUCCUGAAAGCAGAAUUGGUGUAGACUGUGUGUGUAGGCCACUCUGUGCUGGCAUUGAUGCAAAGCAGGACUAAGACGAGAGCGAGAACAUUCAAUGUCUUCAUGGUUGCAGUGGCAGUUUGCAGGAUUGAUUCUUCCCGUCUCUCGCUACUCUUCUGUGGGUUAGCUGCUCCUUCCU
Molecule: long non-coding RNA, 236 nt
Filed under: Gallus gallus (chicken)
Lineage: Eukaryota; Metazoa; Chordata; Aves; Galliformes; Phasianidae
Source: RNAcentral